AAGCCCCGGCUAACUUCGUGCCAGCAGCCGCGGUAAUACGAGGGGGGCAAGCGUUGUUCGGAAUUAUUGGGCGUAAAGGGUGCGUAGGCGGUUUGACAAGUCUUGUGUGAAAUCUAUGGGCUCAACCCAUAGUCUGCACAGGAAACUGUCGGGCUUGAGUAUGGGAGAGGUGAGUGGAAUUUCCGGUGUAGCGGUGAAAUGCGUAGAUAUCGGAAGGAACACCUGUGGCGAAAGCGGCUCACUGGACCAUAACUGACGCUGAUGCACGAAAGCUAGGGGAGCAAACAGGAUUAGAUACCCUGGUAGUCCACGCCGUAAACGAUGUCGACUAGCCGUUGGGCUCCUUGAGAGCUUUGUGGCGCAGUUAACGCGAUAAGUCGACCGCCUGGGGAGUACGGCCGCAAGGUUAAAACUCAAAUGAAUUGACGGGGGCCCGCACAAGCGGUGGAGCAUGUGGUUUAAUUCGAAGCAACGCGCAGAACCUUACCAA
Molecule: ribosomal RNA, 490 nt
Filed under: uncultured bacterium
Lineage: Bacteria
Description: bacterial SSU rRNA
Rfam family: Bacterial small subunit ribosomal RNA
Source: RNAcentral